UGGGGAAUAUUGCACAAUGGGCGAAAGCCUGAUGCAGCAACGCCGCGUAGUGAUGAAGGCCUUCGGGUUGUAAAGCUCUGUCUUUUGGGACGAUAAUGACGGUACCAAAGGAGGAAGCCACGGCUAACUACGUGCCAGCAGCCGCGGUAAUACGUAGGUGGCAAGCGUUGUCCGGAUUUACUGGGCGUAAAGGAUGCGUAGGCGGAUUUUUAAGUGAGAUGUGAAAUACCCGGGCUUAACUUGGGUGCUGCAUUUCAAACUGGGAAUCUAGAGUGCGGGAGAGGAGAAUGGAAUUCCUAGUGUAGCGGUGAAAUGCGUAGAGAUUAGGAAGAACACCAGUGGCGAAGGCGAUUCUCUGGACCGUAACUGACGCUGAGGCAUGAAAGCGUGGGUAGCAAACAGGAUUAGAUACCCUGGUAGUCCACGCCGUAAACGAUGAGUACUAGGUGUAGGAGGUAUCGACCCCUUCUGUGCCGCAGUUAACACAAUAAGUACUCCGCCUGGGAAGUACGAUCGCAAGAUU
Molecule: ribosomal RNA, 523 nt
Filed under: uncultured bacterium
Lineage: Bacteria
Description: partial 16S ribosomal RNA
Rfam family: Bacterial small subunit ribosomal RNA
Source: RNAcentral